RNAcentral lists this ribosomal RNA (1123 nucleotides) under Pterocomma populifoliae. RNAcentral describes it as "partial 16S large subunit ribosomal RNA". The record is from RNAcentral. Lineage: Eukaryota; Metazoa; Arthropoda; Insecta; Hemiptera; Aphididae.
UUUUUUAUAAAAGUAAUUUAUUUAUUUAAGGUUUUAGUAUUAAUUAAAAAUUAAUUUAUAGAUUUAUAGUUUAAUAGUAUUGUGAAAGAAUUAAUUAAUUUAAUAAAAGAAUUUUUUUAGUACCUUUUGUAUCAGGGUUGAUUAAAAUUUUUAAUUUUUUUUUAAUUUCUCAAAAUUUAUAGAGUUAAUUUUAUUAUUAAUUUAUUGUGUUAUAAAUAUUUAUAAAAUAAUAUUAGUUUUGAAAUUUAAUUCGUUAUAUUAUAUUUAGUUAUUUAAGAUUUAAAUUUAAUUUAAAAUUUUAAAAGUUAUAUUGAUUUUGUUGAUUUAUAUUUUAAAUUUAAAUUAUUUUAAGGAUAAGCUUGAAAUUUUAAUAUAAUAAUUUAUUUAUGUUAAUAAUUUAUAGGAAUAGAAAUUUUUAUUUUAAGUUUGUAAAAAUUUAUUAUUUAUUUAGUUUUAAUUUAUUAUAAUUUUAUUUAUUUUUUUUAUUAAAUUUUAUUAAUUAAUAUUUUAUUAAUAGUAAUAAUGAUUAAAUUAGUAUAAUUAAUAUUUAUAAAUUAUGAAUUCGGCAAAAAUUAUUUUCAUCUGUUUAACAAAAACAUUGUAUUAAGUUUAAUUUAAUAUAGGAUCUGCUCAAUGAUUUAUUAAAUAGCUGCAGUAUUUUGACUGUGCAAAGGUAGCGUAAUAAUUAGUCUUUUAAUUGGGGACUUGUAUGAAAGAUUUGAUGAGAAAUAAACUUUAUUAUUUAUAUAAUUAAAAUUUUAUUUUUAAGUAAAAAAGCUUAAAUUUUUUAAAGGGACGAUAAGACCCUAUAAAACUUUAUAAAUGAUAGAAUUGAUUUUUUUGGAUUUAUAAAUAUUUUAUUUUUAUUUUUUAUUUUAUUGGGGUGAUAAAAAAAAUUAAUUAACUUUUUUUAAAUUUUAACAUUAUUUAAUGAUUAUUUGAAUUAAAAUUUUUAAUUAAAGGAAAAAGUUACUUUAGGGAUAACAGCGUAAUUAGUUUUUUAAGUUCAAAUUUAAAAAUUAGUUUGCGACCUCGAUGUUGAAUUAAGAUUAAUCUUAGGUGCAAAAUUUUAAGUAUUAGGUCUGUUCGACCUUUAAAUUCUUACAUGAUUUGAGUUCAAACC